Apus apus (common swift) is the source of this 2362-nucleotide long non-coding RNA. RefSeq lists it as uncharacterized. The transcript has 2 exons. Lineage: Eukaryota; Metazoa; Chordata; Aves; Apodiformes; Apodidae. The record is from RefSeq and is a predicted model, not a curated record.
CCAUCUUGGCGGGGCGGGCGAGCGGCGGCCUCGGCGCUUCCCGCGCGUCCCGCCGGGCCCUGGGGUGGGGAAACCCGGCGGCAGCCGGUCCCUGCAGCACCCCCCACACCGCCGGGACGGCCCUGCGGGGGCUGGAGAGCGCCGAGCGGCUGAGGGAGCUGCGGGGGUCCCGCCACCCAGGUCACCAGGCAAACUAGACCAGGAGAUGGGGAAAUCCAGAUGAGGCCCUCUUGGUUUUGAGCUGCAGAAAGCUUUGCCUCUAAGAGACAAGUGGGUUAGCUGCUUGGAAGCUCCUGAAUCUCCUUCCUAGACGUGAAUGAGCCUUGUUUUAAAUCUGCUGUCUCAGCUGGUCAAGAGUAGGUUUCACUGACACUGUGGGAGCAUGAAAUCAGUGGUAGUGGGCAGGAUCACCCACAGUCUGCUCAUCAGCUCCAGGAUAUCAACCUGCACGUGCCCAUGUGUGUUCUCUUCCUGCCUGGCUUUUUGGGCUGCCCCUUCUCACCAGAGAGGCAAUGUUGGAGGGCAUAAAUACCCAGCAAGCCCCAGUUUACACCACAAGGAGCCUCAAGCUGGAGACUCCAGGACUAGUUGCUGUGAUUAGUCCCACUGCAUGUGAAAAGGGGGAGCUCCCAGGCUUUGGCCAACGGGGGAUCAACCUAUCCCAGUGUCUCCCAGUUCUGUCCAGUGUCUCUGUUCUGUAGGUUUUCAGCAUAAAGUCUAGGGAUCCUCCUCAGCUUCAGGAGGGUUCUUGCAUUCCCACUCCCACCCUCGUGGUGUCUUGCACUCAGCACACGUGUGGAACAUCUGACUGUGCAGAUCCAGGAGGCCUGUCCUGUGCUUCCCAGCACAUCACACCCAUGUUCAGCCUUCCUGGAAGGUCUCAGAGCUUCUGCAGGUUGUCCUCCAGCACACAAGUGCUGCUCCAGCCAGGGGGAAGCCUGCCUGGCAACCCUUUGCUCCACAGCAGGGACACAGUGCUCACAGCUGACAGAGUCCUCAAAAUCUGCACAGCCCCAGUCCUGGGCUGGUGGGAGGAUGCUCCUGGAAAAGCCCAGCAGGAUGGCAGCCCCAGGGUGGCUGGUGGGCCCACAUCAGCUUCUGCUCUGUGUUCUGCAGCUCCCUCCCUGCUUCCAAGCGUUUGUGUGAAGAGCUUUGGAAGGGUUCACAACAGGAAUCAGCAACCUGGUCUAGUCUGGCAUUGCAUGUGGGGUGGGAACCAUGCAGGGGGGUUGGAAUGAGAUGAUCUUUAAGGUGCCUUCCAACCUCAACCAGUCUGGGAUUCCAUGAUUCUGUGCCCAAGGACCCUCAGUCUGCAGCCCAGCUCCCCCUCCCAUCUUAGGGCUGUUACCUCUGCUGCCUUUUCCCUGCCCCUCAGCUGAAGAUCCCCAUAAGGACAAUCCCUAAUUACUAUUUGUCAUCCUUAGGGCAUCGUGACAUUGCUGAACACCACAGAAAUAAAGAACAGAGAUGCAAGGGUUUUUCCUGGAGAACAAGUGUUUCCUCAUGUCAGUGUCUUGUGGUGCCCUCAUGUUGACACCAGCUGUCCCAAAGGUCAAAGCAACAUCCCCCAAAAUACUCACUGCAGUGCAGAUGUUGAUCAGCAGCUGAGCCCAAAGGCAGCAGCCCCAUCCCAUGUCUCCUGGCUCAGCUUUCUCUGUGGAGAGCACAAGCAAAAAGUAUGUGGAGGUCCUAGAAUCAUUAAGGUUGGGAGGGACCUUCAAGACCAUCAAGUUCCAGCCCCCCUGCCAUGAGCAGGGAACCACUAGACCAGGCUGCACAAAACCUCAUCCAGCCUGGCCUUAAAAACCUCCAGGGAUGGGGCAUCAACAGCCUCCCUGGGCAACCCAUUCCAGUUCCUCACCACCCUGAGAGUGAAGAAUUUCUUCCUAAUAUCCAACCUAAAUCUCCCCUCUCUCAGUUUAAAACCAUCACCCCUUGUCCUAUCACUGUCUUCUCUGAUGAAAAGCCCCUCCCCAGCUUUCCUGGAGCCCCUUCAGGCACUGGAAGCUGCUCUAAGGUCUCCCUGGAGCCUUCUCUUCUCCAGGCUGAACACCCCAACUCUCCCAGCCUGGCUCCAGAGCAGAGCUGCUCCAGCCCCUGGAUCAUCCCUGUGGCCUCCUCUGGACUGUCUCUAGAUCAUUCUUGUGCUGAGGGCACCAGAACUGGACACAGGUCCUGCCCCCCAGUCCAGGGCUGGAGGGAAGAAACAACCCAGAAUGUUCUUGAACACAGAGUCCUUCUUCCUCCAAAAUGCUUCCCUGGUUGCCAACAGCUUCUGGAAUAAGUUAUGCAGCAUCCCUCAAUGAAUAAAGAGGAAAAAAAAAUAAUAAAAUCAACCCAUGCUUUAGCAACCAAGUCAAAA